Molecule: transfer RNA, 69 nt
Filed under: Cantherhines dumerilii (whitespotted filefish)
Lineage: Eukaryota; Metazoa; Chordata; Actinopteri; Tetraodontiformes; Monacanthidae
Also listed under: 3 other names
Description: tRNA-Glu
Rfam family: tRNA
About the family: Transfer RNA (tRNA) molecules are approximately 80 nucleotides in length.
Source: RNAcentral
GUUCUUGUAGUUGAAUAACAACGGUGGUUUUUCAGGUCAUUGGUUCCGGUUAGAAUCCGGGCGAGAAUU